GGCGCAGCCCUUGGUUUUUCUGUCACGACUGGGUAUUUUCGACGCCCCUCACGACCCCGAUCCGCCACAUCCAAGGUUCAGGCGUCGUCAUGUACGUUAAGAUCCCCUUUAUCCACUCGUCCGCCCUCGGUAAGUCCCGGCAGCAUCACGAGACAUUCAACGCCUGACAGCUCCGCGGAGGAUCGGAAAUCCUAGUCUACUUCGAGUUAAAAUCGCUCUAUAAAGCGGGUCUCCGCACUGGCCUUUCAGCCUUGGGUCCAGGUGACGCCUCUUGCCUGCCUGAAGUGCCUGCAGUGACUUCCACAGGCUCCGAUCCUCUCUCUGUCUCUCAGCCGCGCUGUGCAAAGCUCUCACUCCCGGGGUGGAUUCUCGUCUACCACUAGGCCGUAUAUACCCGGAGGCCACAUCUUCUCUGCCUCCGGGUCGUGCAGACAUCACCCCUCUCCUGACAGCUUCCCUGUCUACAUAGCCUCAGGAAUCGGCCCCUCCCCUCCGUAGUCAUCCUUUGCACUUUGCACUCACCGCCAUGGAGUUCUCUGCCCCACGCGCUGGAAGAGGACUGUCUUUUCAAGACCAGUCUUUGCCUGAGGAAGAAACCUAGAAGAGGAGGAAGAAGAAAGAACAGGAGUCAGGCAUGGCUCUUUCUCAGGCGCAGUUGACCUUCAAGGAUGUGGCCAUUGAAUUCUCUCAGGAGGAGUGGAAUGCGUGGACCCUGCUCAGAGGGCCUUGUACAGAGAUGUGAUGGUGGAGACCCUCAGGAACCUGCUCUCCGUGGGUGAGGAUCACUUCCCUCCAGGAGUCAGGAU
This is a long non-coding RNA of Budorcas taxicolor (takin), 806 nucleotides long. RefSeq lists it as uncharacterized. NCBI's taxonomy places the organism in Eukaryota, Metazoa, Chordata, Mammalia, Artiodactyla, Bovidae. The transcript is spliced from 3 exons. The record is from RefSeq and is a predicted model, not a curated record.